CCAGCAGGGACAGAGGAGUUAACAUUUCAAGCUCUAGACCCUGUCUGUCGGUUUACACAGGCCUUUUAUAAGCUGCCAGUUUUACACUCUGCAACAUCAUAUGCAAAUAAAGUACAACAGAAGUUAACCAGCCAGGAACAAGCUUUGUAA
Non-coding RNA from Vicugna pacos (alpaca), 150 nucleotides. Lineage: Eukaryota; Metazoa; Chordata; Mammalia; Artiodactyla; Camelidae. The record is from RefSeq and is a predicted model, not a curated record.